AUACUUAUCAACGCAGCCCAUCUCUUGUGCCCUUUGCAUCUCGUUCCACAUUGCCAUUGGCUGUGAAGGUCAUCCCUUUUAAGUGGCACCUCACUUCAGAUGGGAGAAACAUCUGUUCCAGAAUAGAACAUCGGUGGGUGCCCGGCCAGCAGCACUCACUUACACAGAAGGGCAUCAGGCGCUCCACCUACUCUGCCUAGUCCCCCACGGCGACGACGACAGCUGAGAGAGGAAGGAAGCCCCCGCGGCCGCCCCACCCCUGGGCUACUCUGCUCUGCACGGCCUUGGCCCGUCCUGCCGUCCUGCCGUGGUGCCUAAUUAGACCUCAGAUACAUCAGCAAAGACAUGGUGAGAGCGUGAAGACUUUGAAACAAGAAAAUGAAUGAAAUUCCAUCACAAGUAUGUUAAAGGAGCUUUACCGCCUUAGGAAAAAGUUAGUAUUUCAAGAAAGAAGUUCAGUUAACAGUGCCCGGGAGGGGAACCUUUCUUCCUUCAACCUUAGUUUCAGAAAGCACUUGCCCGAGGGGGCCCCUUUGGCCCCAGCACAAUUGGGUGAGGGCCCGACAGGCAGGCAGCCCUAGGCACAGGUCACAGGCCCAGCAGAACCAGAGUCGGCCUGCCCCCAGCCUCCCUUCUCCUCGGCACAGUCUGCCGAUCACCUUGUGAGCAGCCUCUCUUCUCAGCAUCCCCGCC
Molecule: long non-coding RNA, 693 nt
Organism: Equus quagga
Lineage: Eukaryota; Metazoa; Chordata; Mammalia; Perissodactyla; Equidae
Exons: 3
Source: RefSeq, a predicted model, not a curated record